Molecule: transfer RNA, 47 nt
Organism: Acanthisitta chloris (rifleman)
Lineage: Eukaryota; Metazoa; Chordata; Aves; Passeriformes; Acanthisittidae
Rfam family: tRNA
About the family: Transfer RNA (tRNA) molecules are approximately 80 nucleotides in length. Their secondary structure includes four short double-helical elements and three loops (D, anti-codon, and T loops). Further hydrogen bonds mediate the characteristic L-shaped molecular structure. tRNAs have two regions of fundamental functional importance: the anti-codon, which is responsible for specific mRNA codon recognition, and the 3' end, to which the tRNAs corresponding amino acid is attached (by aminoacyl-tRNA synthetases). tRNAs cope with the degeneracy of the genetic code in two manners: having more than one tRNA (with a specific anti-codon) for a particular amino acid; and 'wobble' base-pairing, i.e. permitting non-standard base-pairing at the 3rd anti-codon position.
Source: Rfam
GCCUGGAUAGCUCAGCUGGGAGAGCAUCAGACUUUUAAUCUGAGGGU